GAUGAAGAACGCAGCGAAAUGCGAUAAGUAAUGUGAAUUGCAGAAUUCAGUGAAUCAUCGAAUCUUUGAACGCACAUUGCGCCCUCUGGUAUUCCGGAGGGCAUGCCUGUUCGAGCGUCAUUAUCACCCCUCAAGCCCGGCUUGUUGUUGGAUGCAGCGCUUAUCCCGCUCCUCCCAAAGAUAAUGACGGCGUCUGCGACGACUCCUGUACACUGAGCUUUCGGGCACGUACACGGCUAGAAGUCCAGACCCGGUCGCCGUCCCCCCCCGCGGGGGACACCCAUUACCACAAGGUUGACCUCGGAUCAGGUAGGAAUACCCGCUGAACUUAAGCAUAUCAAUAAGCGGAGGA
Molecule: unclassified non-coding RNA, 352 nt
Filed under: soil metagenome
Description: partial contains 5.8S ribosomal RNA, internal transcribed spacer 2, and large subunit ribosomal RNA
Rfam family: 5.8S ribosomal RNA (bases 1-120)
Source: RNAcentral